This 497-nucleotide ribosomal RNA is filed under the name uncultured bacterium. Its description in RNAcentral is "partial 16S ribosomal RNA". It matches the Rfam family "Bacterial small subunit ribosomal RNA", at positions 28 to 507 of the family's 1533-position model. The record is from RNAcentral.
GAUGAACGCUGGCGGCGUGCCUAAUACAUGCAAGUCGAGCGAACGGACGAGGAGCUUGCUCUUCUGAUGUUAGCGGCGGACGGGUGAGUAACACGUGGAUAACCUACCUAUAAGACUGGGAUAACUUCGGGAAACCGGAGCUAAUACCGGAUAAUAUUUUGAACCGCAUGGUUCAAUAGUGAAAGACGGUCUUGCUGUCACUUAUAGAUGGAUCCGCGCUGCAUUAGCUAGUUGGUAAGGUAACGGCUUACCAAGGCAACGAUGCAUAGCCGACCUGAGAGGGUGAUCGGCCACACUGGAACUGAGACACGGUCCAGACUCCUACGGGAGGCAGCAGUAGGGAAUCUUCCGCAAUGGGCGAAAGCCUGACGGAGCAACGCCGCGUGAGUGAUGAAGGUCUUCGGAUCGUAAAACUCUGUUAUUAGGGAAGAACAAAUGUGUAAGUAACUGUGCACAUCUUGACGGUACCUAAUCAGAAAGCCACGGCUAACUACGUG